AACCUACAGUUGUUGGUUGACUUCUAUAGUAGGCCUAUGGAGGAAAACUGAAGUAAAAUAUGAGUUGCUACGACCGAAUCAUUGAAUCAGUGAGUUGUUAAUCACUGUCAACUUGUCCUUGUCCUUGAAAAAAUUGUCUCAAAACAAUGAUUAAUUUAUGGAUCAUGCCUCGGUUUUUUGCAAUGGAAUGUGGUAAAAUAUAUUCUGACAAAGUACAAAUACGCGAAAAAUGCAUUAACAGAGUUAAAAACGUACUUUAAUGAUUGUUUGAGAUAGGAGCUGUUCACCUGAGAUGACGCCUCAGCAGGUCUGAUAUGAAGCUCGCUUUCCCUGAGGCUGACUUUCCAACUGUAGUUGACACAUUGUCAUAUCAUGUGAACUGACAGCUGCUUGUUUUACCCUCCUAACAUUAACCAGAACCUUCAGGCCAUUUAAAUGAUCCGCAACAGCCACUUAUUGCAGAGAACAGGUUUUUUCAGCUGUGAUUUAUACUAAUUGGUCUUGUGCUUUGCCAUUACAGAUGUGUUUGUGUGUUGGUUGACCCCAGAGGCCUGAUUACAACUGGGAGACCACUUGACUGUGAACUUUGACGUGGUGGUCAUCUUCUUCUGGCCUUUUACCGAGGAGUCAUGAAAGUGCUCAUUCCUCGACUGAUUUGUGUCAUUGGGCCUGGAGACUUAAUAAACAGCUAAAAGACCUGUGGUGCUUGUGGUACCUUUGAUUGUUCAGAGAGCGUAUUUUGGAUAGACAGUAUGGCGCCCGGUCGCUUCUGUGUACAUUACGGACAGACGUGAAGCUCUCAGCUGCGAGGGGAGACUUGUGCUGGAUCUGAAUUCUCAGAGUUGCUCUGCUGAAGAAUCCCAUUGUCUGGCUUCCCGUGAGUAGAGAGUGGUUCCCAGGACUUGGCUUGUCUAAAUAUGCCAUGACAGAGUGGACUCCCUCCUGCAAUAGCCUCUCUGACUCACUUAUCUCUGGCAGACGAACUCUCAACACAAACCAGUGCCGUCUCUCUGUCACACAGCCUAAUCUGUAAUGUCAUGGUUCACUGAAACACUCCCCUCUCUCCAAAAACUGGCACGACCUCCUUCAGCACUCUGAUAAUCCAGUAUGAUUUACACACUACCGUUUGAGGUCGAUAAGAUUUUUAUUUUAUAUAAGUCUCUUUUGCUGAACA
Long non-coding RNA from Carassius gibelio (silver crucian carp), 1174 nucleotides. RefSeq lists it as uncharacterized. The record is from RefSeq and is a predicted model, not a curated record. Lineage: Eukaryota; Metazoa; Chordata; Actinopteri; Cypriniformes; Cyprinidae. The transcript is spliced from 3 exons.